RNAcentral lists this ribosomal RNA (800 nucleotides) under uncultured bacterium. Its description in RNAcentral is "bacterial SSU rRNA". It matches the Rfam family "Bacterial small subunit ribosomal RNA", at positions 651 to 1450 of the family's 1533-position model. The record is from RNAcentral.
GUAGGGGAGACUGGAAUUNCUGGUGUAGCGGUGGAAUGCGCAGAUAUCAGGAGGAACACCGAUGGCGAAGGCAGGUCUNUGGGCUGUAACUGACGCUGAGAAGCGAAAGCAUGGGGAGCGAACAGGAUUAGAUACCCUGGUAGUCCAUGCCGUAAACGUUGGNCACUAGGUGUGGGGGACAUUNCACGUUUUCCGCGCCGUAGCUAACGCAUUAAGUGCCCCGCCUGGGGAGUACGGCCGCAAGGCUAAAACUCAAAGAAAUUGACGGGGGCCCGCACAAGCGGCGGAGCAUGCGGAUUAAUUCGAUGCAACGCGAAGAACCUUACCAAGGCUUGACAUAUACUGGACUGCGUCAGAGAUGGCGUUUCCCUUCGGGGCUGGUAUACAGGUGGUGCGUGGUUGUCGUCAGCUCGUGUCGUGAGAUGUUGGGUUAAGUCCCGCAACGAGCGCAACCCUCGUUCUAUGUUGCCAGCACGUGAUGGUGGGGACUCAUAGGAGACUGCCGGGGUCAACUCGGAGGAAGGUGGGGAUGACGUCAAAUCAUCAUGCCCCUUAUGUCUUGGGCUUCACGCAUGCUACAAUGGCCGGUACAGAGGGUUGCGAUACUGUGAGGUGGAGCUAAUCCCUAAAAGCCGGUCUCAGUUCGGAUUGGGGUCUGCAACUCGACCCCAUGAAGUCGGAGUCGCUAGUAAUCGCAGAUCAGCAACGCUGCGGUGAAUACGUUCCCGGGCCUUGUACACACCGCCCGUCAAGUCACGAAAGUUGGUAACACCCGAAGCCGGUGGCCUAACCCUGGUGGG